ACACCGGCAGCUCUAGUGGUAGCAAUUUUUAUUGGGCCUAAAGCGUCCGUAGCCGGUUUAAUAAGUCUCUGGUGAAAUCCUGCAGCUUAACUGUGGGAAUUGCUGGAGAUACUAUUAGACUUGAGAUCGGGAGAGGUUAGAGGUACUCCCAGGGUAGAGGUGAAAUUCUGUAAUCCUGGGAGGACCGCCUGUUGCGAAGGCGUCUAACUGGAACGAUUCUGACGGUGAGGGACGAAAGUUAGGGGCGCGAACCGGAUUAGAUACCCGGGUAGUCCUAACUGUAAACGAUGCGGACUUGGUGUUGGGGUGGCGUUGAGCUGCUCCAGUGCCGAAGGGAAGCUGUUAAGUCCGCCGCCUGGGAAGUACGGUCGCAAGACUGAAACUUAAAGGAAUUGGCGGGG
Molecule: ribosomal RNA, 401 nt
Filed under: uncultured bacterium
Lineage: Bacteria
Description: partial 16S ribosomal RNA
Rfam family: Archaeal small subunit ribosomal RNA
Source: RNAcentral